AACGAACGCUGGCGGCAUGCCUAACACAUGCAAGUCGAACGAGACCUUCGGGUCUAGUGGCGCACGGGUGCGUAACGCGUGGGAACCUGCCUUUAGGUUCGGAAUAACUCAGAGAAAUUUGAGCUAAUACCGGAUGAUGUCUUCGGACCAAAGAUUUAUCGCCUUUAGAUGGGCCCGCGUUGGAUUAGCUAGUUGGUGGGGUAAAGGCCUACCAAGGCGACGAUCCAUAGCUGGUCUGAGAGGAUGAUCAGCCACACUGGGACUGAGACACGGCCCAGACUCCUACGGGAGGCAGCAGUGGGGAAUAUUGGACAAUGGGCGAAAGCCUGAUCCAGCAAUGCCGCGUGAGUGAUGAAGGCCUUAGGGCUGUAAAGCUCUUUUACCCGAGAUGAUAAUGACAGUAUCGGGAGAAUAAGCUCCGGCUAACUCCGUG
This 433-nucleotide ribosomal RNA is filed under the name uncultured bacterium. RNAcentral describes it as "partial 16S ribosomal RNA". It matches the Rfam family "Bacterial small subunit ribosomal RNA", at positions 29 to 507 of the family's 1533-position model. The record is from RNAcentral.